AUACGUAGGUGACAAGCGUUAUCCGGAUUUACUGGGCGUAAAGGGCGUGUAGGCGGUCUUGCAAGUCAGAAGUGAAAUUCCUGAGCUCAACUCGGGCGCUGCUUCUGAAACUGCAGGACUUGAGUGCUGGAGGGGAUAGCGGAAUUCCUAGUGGAGCGGUAAAAUGCGCAGAUAUUAGGAAGAACACCGGUGGCGAAGGCGGCUAUCUGGAAAGUAACUGACGCUGAGGCGCGAAAGCGUGGGGAGCAAAAAGGAUUAGAUACCCUGGUAGUCCACGCCGUAAGCGAUGAAUACUAGGUGUAGGGGGUAUCGACUCCCUCUGUGCCGCAGUUAACACAAUAAGUAUUCCGCCUGGGGAGUACGGCCGCAAGGUUGAAACUCAAAUGAAUUGGCGGGG
RNAcentral lists this ribosomal RNA (397 nucleotides) under uncultured bacterium. RNAcentral describes it as "partial 16S ribosomal RNA". It matches the Rfam family "Bacterial small subunit ribosomal RNA", at positions 523 to 918 of the family's 1533-position model. The record is from RNAcentral.